UGAGGAAUAUUGGUCAAUGGGCGCGAGCCUGAACCAGCCAAGUCGCGUGAGGGAAGACUGCCCUAUGGGUUGUAAACCUCUUUUGUCGGGGAGCAAAGGCGUCACGCGUGGCGCUUUGAGAGUACCCGAAGAAAAAGCAUCGGCUAACUCCGUGCCAGCAGCCGCGGUAAUACGGAGGAUGCGAGCGUUAUCCGGAUUUAUUGGGUUUAAAGGGUGCGUAGGCGGAGCGUCAAGUCAGCGGUAAAAUCGUGGGGCUCAACCCCAUCCUGCCGUUGAAACUGGCGUCCUUGAGUGAGUGAGAGGUAUGCGGAAUGCGUGGUGUAGCGGUGAAAUGCAUAGAUAUCACGCAGAACCCCGAUUGCGAAGGCAGCAUACCGGUGCUCAACUGACGCUGAGGCACGAAAGCGUGGGGAUCAAACAGG
This 422-nucleotide ribosomal RNA is filed under the name uncultured bacterium. RNAcentral's name for it is "bacterial SSU rRNA". It matches the Rfam family "Bacterial small subunit ribosomal RNA", at positions 355 to 776 of the family's 1533-position model. The record is from RNAcentral.